This 386-nucleotide long non-coding RNA is filed under the name Homo sapiens (human). RNAcentral's name for it is "non-protein coding lnc-ADTRP-6:1". The record is from RNAcentral. Lineage: Eukaryota; Metazoa; Chordata; Mammalia; Primates; Hominidae.
ACGAGGUCAGGAGAUUGAGACCAUCCUGGCUAACAUGGUGAAAUCCCGUCUCUACUAACAAAAAAUUUAAAAAAAUUUAAAAAGUAGUCUGAGUCUUCCUGAUUCAAUGAAGUCAUAAGAAAGGAUUCAUUUGGAGCUGUUAAAGAAGGAACCUUUUAUUUUUGUGACGACAUACACAAACUAUUUGUAUACAUCACUGCAUUAGAUCAUAUUAUCCUUAUAAGUCACUCUGUGGCAUUAUUUAUAUAGAAAAUACUCAGAUAUAUGGCAUGAAGUCAAUUACCUAAGAAGCAAAGUGAAACAAACAAAACCUGGGUUUUUCUCCCCAUACCACUCUUCCGUGAAUCCCCAAAUGAGCCUCUAGGAUAAGAUUCAUUUCUUUGUUU